This 253-nucleotide ribosomal RNA is filed under the name uncultured bacterium. Its description in RNAcentral is "partial 16S ribosomal RNA". It matches the Rfam family "Bacterial small subunit ribosomal RNA", at positions 524 to 776 of the family's 1533-position model. The record is from RNAcentral.
UACAGAGGGUGCAAGCGUUGUUCGGAAUUACUGGGCGUAAAGCGCGUGUAGGCGGCUUAUUAAGUCGGACGUGAAAUCCCUUGGCUUAACCAAGGAACUGCGUCCGAUACUGCUAGGCUUGAGUGUCGGAGGGGGUGGCGGAAUUCCCGGUGUAGAGGUGAAAUUCGUAGAUAUCGGGAGGAACACCUGUGGCGAAGGCGGCAUCCUGGACCGACACUGACGCUGAGGAGCGAAAGCCAGGGGAGCAAACGGG